UUUUUGACAGAGGUUAUAUAAGAUUGGUGUUGUUCCUUCCUAAAAUGUUUGAUAGAAUUUCCCAGGAAAACUAUCUGGGACUGGAGUUUUCCUCGUGAGAAGAUAGUGAUUUAAUUUUUAAGUGAAUAUUAAGUUCUCUUUCUUAUUGAAUGAGCUUUGUCCGUUUGUGUCUUCAUAGGAAAUCGUUUUAUCUGUGGUGGUAAAUUUGUUGGCAUAAAGUUCUUUGUAAGAUCCUUUUUAUCUCUUUAAUGUGUGGUUCCUCUUUCGCUCCUGGUGUGUUAUGCUCUGAAUGUCUGCAGGACCUGAGGUGCUGACCGCUCUCUCACUACGGAGCCUCAUGCUCAGAAGAGGUGGAGAUAGACCCUGUCCCCAGGGUGCCUGUGGUCCUGGAAAUUUGUUCCUCUAUACCUGUGAGAAGUUCAGGAGAAACUUGUCUGUUAUGGUGAGCUAAAGUGAUCGGAGGCAGCACAAUGCACAGGAUAUAGUAGUAAGUGCUUGAUAAAUGCUCAUUGAUGCUUGGAAGAUGCUUAUUGAUGACUGGGAAAAACCUUGUAAAAUUAAAGUUCACUAUUUCCAAA
Long non-coding RNA from Galeopterus variegatus (Sunda flying lemur), 578 nucleotides. RefSeq lists it as uncharacterized. The transcript is spliced from 2 exons. The record is from RefSeq and is a predicted model, not a curated record. Lineage: Eukaryota; Metazoa; Chordata; Mammalia; Dermoptera; Cynocephalidae.